Molecule: signal recognition particle RNA, 300 nt
Filed under: Saimiri boliviensis boliviensis (Bolivian squirrel monkey)
Lineage: Eukaryota; Metazoa; Chordata; Mammalia; Primates; Cebidae
Description: Metazoan signal recognition particle RNA (ENSSBOG00000015856.1)
Rfam family: Metazoan signal recognition particle RNA
About the family: The signal recognition particle (SRP) is a universally conserved ribonucleoprotein. It is involved in the co-translational targeting of proteins to membranes.
Source: RNAcentral
GCCUGGUGCGGUGGCGCGUGCUUCUAGUCCCAGAUACUCCGGAGGCUGAGAUGGGAGGAUAACUUGAGCCCAGGAGUUCUGGGCCAUAGUGUGCUAUGCCGAUCGGGUCUGCACUAAGUUCGGCAUCAAUAUGGUGACCUCCUGGGAGCUGGGGACCAGCAGGUUGCCCAGGGUGGGGCAAACCGGCCCAUGUCAGAAACGGAGCAAGUCAAAACUCCCGGGCUGCUGAUCAGUAGUGGGAUCACGCCUGUGAAUAGCCACUGCACUCCAGCCUGGGCAACAUAGCAGGAACUUGUCUCU